Molecule: ribosomal RNA, 717 nt
Filed under: Triticum aestivum (bread wheat)
Lineage: Eukaryota; Viridiplantae; Streptophyta; Magnoliopsida; Poales; Poaceae
Description: partial small subunit ribosomal RNA
Source: RNAcentral
GUCCUCCGCAUAAGGACCUCGAUUGCGGUUGGAUCUGGCACCGCCACGCUGUUUGGGUUCGAUAGAUGGGCUGGGGACUCCCCCUUCGCGACGCGCUUCCCUGAUCUGUUCUCCAUCGCGGUAGAGCCACGGAUUUCUGUUGCGGUGGCCCUUAUUGACUUAGGGCACAUCGCGUUCCGGAGACCGUUUGGACCGACCGAAAAUGAUGUGUGGCAGGACCUGCUUGAUUGCAUCGCCUUGCACGAGCCAGAUCUGGAGAUUGGCGAGGACCGCACCAGGUGGCGGCUAGAGCCAUCUGGACAAUUCUCCUCUAAAUCUCCCUACCAGGCCAUAGCCCCUUCGCCGGGCCCUGAGGCUCUCACCACCAUCUGGGCGAUUCGGCUCCCCUUGAAGAUUAGGAUUUUCUUGUGGCAAUGGAUUCACGGCCGCCUUCCAUCCGGUGUUGAGGUCCUGAAGCGCAACGGCCCCGGUGAUGGGCGGUGCCCGCUCUGCGGGCCUGAAGAGGAUACGAACCAUAUCUUCUUCACAUGUACAUCCGCGCAGUUUCUCUCGAGCUGUUUCCGCGAGGUUGUGGGUGGAAGAUGGGAUCACCCCAACUUCCCCGCCCUCUUCGCCGAACUUCAGGCAUUACCACCCACGUUGCGCCACAUUAGGUGGCUGACCAUCGGGGUGCUAGCCUGGACGCUGUGGACUAUUAGGAAUAAACUUGUGAUUUAG